GUUGCUUCAUAAAUGGUGAAAUCUCUCAAAAUUAAAUGAGAGAAUUUCAAGUUUCCGGAGCAUAUAUUUAGUAUUAUUACUAUUAUAUAUCACCAGUAUUAAACAGCUCCAUGUGUGUAUACAAUUGCAUCGGCGUUACCUGUCUCCUGGAACAUUGUUUUUCAAUUUUUUUUUUUUUUGAUUUUUAGAUAUAUUCGUUCUGAUUUUGUGUUGUACAAAGUGUCAAAGUCUUAUGUGUGGAUGUGAUGAUUAUUUCCCCAGAUGAUCGAAUCUGAAAUAACUGAGCGCUCAAUUCAUGUUUCUCCUUCUGGAGAAAUUCAAGCCAGAAAUCUGAUCCAUCUUCAAAAAUGUGUUUUGUUUAAUUUUAAAUAUUUGAUAUUUAGUAUGUGUUUUGAUAAUCAGAGAGUGGAAAUGAUGAUUAUUUCCCCAGAUGAUCGAAAUUGAUUAUACUGAGCGCAUUUAAUUAUAUUCUCUAUUACGUUAUAGAGAAUCCAAGCCAGAAAUCUGAUCCUGUCUCUGUUUUUAUUGAUAAAAAUAUAAGUUCCUCUGUUGAUGAUUCAAAUAAAAACUUUCGUUCUUCCGAGGAUGAUAUCCGUCUAUGCGGAAACGAUUAUUGGAGACCUGAACUGAAGAGGC
RNAcentral lists this long non-coding RNA (636 nucleotides) under Helianthus annuus (common sunflower). The stretch from base 1 to 157 matches the Rfam family "small nucleolar RNA snoR137". The record is from RNAcentral. Lineage: Eukaryota; Viridiplantae; Streptophyta; Magnoliopsida; Asterales; Asteraceae.